Molecule: non-coding RNA, 546 nt
Organism: Biomphalaria pfeifferi
Lineage: Eukaryota; Metazoa; Mollusca; Gastropoda; Planorbidae
Source: the annotation of a GenBank genome assembly
GUUUUUAUUGCUGAGUAUCAGUAAUAACCCCUUUUUUUUUCAACGUACCUCCAUUUAGCAAAGCAAAGACAGAAUCUUUAUUUUAUUUAUAUGAUUCUAAACUAUGUAUAUAACGAAUAUGUAGAGUGUUUGUUAGGAAUGUGUCAAAUACUUUGUAUUAAUGACAUUUUUACAUCAUUAAAAGUAUACUAUUCACGACGACAUCUUAUAGUUUUAUCCUAAUGAAAUUGCAAGGACGUGAAUUACUUUAUAAUUUACAUAUUUACCUCUUUUGUGCAGUGAUAUGUUUCCUUUAUCUUUAUUAAUUAGAAUAGUUACAAAAUUAUGGCAAUUAAAUAUGACUGUUUAGUUUCCUAUAUAAAUAUGAUGAAACCUUAGGAAAUGAUUUUUUAAUGUAUAACUUGUUUCCUUUCCCAUUAUAUGCGCAUGAGUAUUAGUCCAAUCAAUCAUGGGGUGGCUGCCUGGUCGUACAGCGCGCUGGACUUUCGUUCAGAUUUGUCGAUGGCUCCGGGUUCAUACCCUGCCAACUUCUAUUUCCCGUCGGCC